Molecule: ribosomal RNA, 634 nt
Filed under: uncultured Bacillota bacterium
Lineage: Bacteria; Bacillati; Bacillota
Description: bacterial SSU rRNA
Rfam family: Bacterial small subunit ribosomal RNA
Source: RNAcentral
GUUGGCGGGGUAAUGGCCCACCAAGGCAACGAUGCGUAGCCGACCUGAGAGGGUGAUCGGCCACAUUGGGACUGAGACACGGCCCAAACUCCUACGGGAGGCAGCAGUAGGGAAUCUUCCGCAAUGGACGAAAGUCUGACGGAGCAACGCCGCGUGAGUGAAGAAGGCCUUCGGGUCGUAAAACUCUGUUGCCGGGGAAGAACAAGUGCCGUUCGAACAGGGCGGCGCCUUGACGGUACCCGACCAGAAAGCCACGGCUAACUACGUGCCAGCAGCCGCGGUAAUACGUAGGUGGCAAGCGUUGUCCGGAAUUAUUGGGCGUAAAGCGCGCGCAGGCGGCUUCUUAAGUCUGAUGUGAAAUCUUGCGGCUCAACCGCAAGCGGUCAUUGGAAACUGGGAGGCUUGAGUGCAGAAGAGGAGAGUGGAAUUCCACGUGUAGCGGUGAAAUGCGUAGAGAUGUGGAGGAACACCAGUGGCGAAGGCGGCUCUCUGGUCUGUAACUGACGCUGAGGCGCGAAAGCGUGGGGAGCAAACAGGAUUAGAUACCCUGGUAGUCCACGCCGUAAACGAUGAGUGCUAAGUGUUAGAGGGUUUCCGCCCUUUAGUGCUGCAGCUAACGCAUUAAGCACUCCGC